This 374-nucleotide ribosomal RNA is filed under the name uncultured organism. Its description in RNAcentral is "bacterial SSU rRNA". It matches the Rfam family "Archaeal small subunit ribosomal RNA", at positions 476 to 851 of the family's 1478-position model. The record is from RNAcentral.
CCAGCACCCCGAGUGGUCGGGACGAUUAUUGGGCCUAAAGCAUCCGUAGCCGGUCUUGCAAAUCCUCCGUUAAAUCCAGCUGCUCAACAGAUGGGCUGCGGAGGAUACUACAAGGCUAGGAGGCGGGAGAGGCAAGCGGUACUCAGUGGGUAGGGGUAAAAUCCUCUGAUCCAUUGAAGACCACCAGUGGCGAAGGCGGCUUGCCAGAACGCGCUCGACGGUGAUGGAUGAAAGCUGGGGGAGCAAACCGGAUUAGAUACCCGGGUAGUCCCAGCUGUAAACGAUGCAGACUCGGUGAUGGGCCGGCUUUAUGCCAGCUCAGUGCCGCAGGGAAGCCGUUAAGUCUGCCGCCUGGGGAUACGGUCGCAAGACUG